CCUACGGGGGGCAGCAGUGGGGAAUAUUGGACAAUGGGGGCAACCCUGAUCCAGCCAUGCCGCGUGUGUGAAGAAGGCCCUCGGGUUGUAAAGCACUUUCAGUGAGGAAGAACGCCUGGUGGUUAAUACCCAUCAGGAAAGACAUCACUCACAGAAGAAGCACCGGCUAACUCCGUGCCAGCAGCCGCGGUAAUACGGAGGGUGCGAGCGUUAAUCGGAAUUACUGGGCGUAAAGCGCGCGUAGGUGGCUUGAUAAGCCGGUUGUGAAAGCCCCGGGCUCAACCUGGGAACGGCAUCCGGAACUGUCAAGCUAGAGUGAAGGAGAGGAAGGUAGAAUUCCCGGUGUAGCGGUGAAAUGCGUAGAGAUCGGGAGGAAUACCAGUGGCGAAGGCGGCCUUCUGGACUGACACUGACACUGAGGUGCGAAAGCGUGGGUAGCAAACAGGAUUAGAUACCCGUGUAGUC
This 465-nucleotide ribosomal RNA is filed under the name Vreelandella stevensii. Its description in RNAcentral is "partial 16S ribosomal RNA". It matches the Rfam family "Bacterial small subunit ribosomal RNA", at positions 338 to 795 of the family's 1533-position model. The record is from RNAcentral. Lineage: Bacteria; Pseudomonadati; Pseudomonadota; Gammaproteobacteria; Oceanospirillales; Halomonadaceae.